RNAcentral lists this long non-coding RNA (5794 nucleotides) under Danio rerio (zebrafish). RNAcentral describes it as "si:dkey-14f19.6 (ENSDARG00000105437.2)". Lineage: Eukaryota; Metazoa; Chordata; Actinopteri; Cypriniformes; Danionidae. The record is from RNAcentral.
UGACUUUUGUUUUUUGUUUUGUUUUAUUUCGGGAUAAACGUAAAAUUGUCUGGAGAAAAUGGAGACAGAGUUGCAAGCGAGCAGCCUCCUCUCCCGAAUGCUGAAAACCGGACUGGAGAAUAUUGCAGCGGAUGUAGAAGUUGGUCGGUCCAAAAUUAAUCAAAUCGGAGAUGCAUCUGUAGUUUUUGGUGAGUUGUUUUUUGGUUCAUGGCUGCUGGCCGCCAUGUGCACCUUUACGGAGCCAUGUCUGCGGUCUGGAUGUGUCUGGUGUGUAGGGGAAAGAGAGGUACGGAGAGAAGAGCGGCGGCGCAGGGCACGUACAGUCACAACGGAGGAGGAGUCUGGAGUUCGGUGGGCGCGGUUCACUUUGGAGAACUGUUGCAUGUCAUGCUUAUGAUCCAUACUCCAUGAUACACUCUCACGAUAUUAUAAAACCUCUCGUAAUGGCUGGCCACUACCCGUCUAAAGGUCGGAAACAUUAAUAUUUAUUCAUUUUUUAACCAGGCUGCGUUUUUUUAAAAAUCAGAACUAAUAAUAAAAAUCGGUUAAAUGUUAAAAUUAUUAUGUAAAUCCAAUAUUAGAUUUUUUUCCAUUGUUUUUUUAAUUGUACCACGUGACCCUUGUACAUUUUUUACAGCAGGCCAUUAGCCAGAGGGGGUUCAAAAGACCCACUCCGCUACUGACAAAGCUCAUUUGUCCUAUUUUGACUGAUAUGCCAUCAUAAAUAAUCAAAAUAACCCAUCGAAAAGGGCUUCAAGAGCAAGCGGAAUCUGAUGCAAGUAAAGUCAACUUUCAUUGUAUUGUUGUUAAAUAGAGAAAACAUUUUAAGUAACUGUUAUUUUAAAUCUUGGACCUAAUUCUUGAAACAAAAAAUGACCGAAAAAAUGUUGUAAAGCACCAAAGGCAGCCCAUAUUAACGUUACUUAAAAUACUUAUUAGGCUAUUGUUAAUAUCCAUGAUUUUUCAAUACUUUUUUUCAAGUAAAACUAUAAACUCGUAAAGCUCUACGUUAUUAUAUUUAUUUUUUAUUGAUCAAAUGCCCAAAUUCUACUUAUGCUUCCUUAAAAUUCUGACUGAGGAAAGUUAAAUGUGCUGAUCAGUUUGUUGAUAACUGACAAUAGGCUACAGUUAAUUAUUUAAAACUUCAAGAGAUUCCUAUUUCCCCCAGUGAUAUAAUAUGUAAUUAAUUUGUAUUUUAAAUAUGAGCCGAUUUUUAAUAGAUCUUUAUUCUAAAUCUUUAGAAAAUGUUUUUGGUUCAUCAAAAAGUGUGACCAUCUGAUAAACUAAUCCAGCAAAAAAAACUGCUUAAAAUGUUACUAAAAACACAUCUAAAACCUCAUAAUUAAAUAGAAAAUGAGCCGAAUAACUGCAAAAAGAACCACCUUUUUCACCAGGCUGCUUACAGGCUUGACAGUCUAUGGUUUUAAUGCGGAGAUUUGAUUCUCUAAUAUAACUAUUAUUGGUGCUUAAUAAUUAUUAUUGAUUCUUAUUAUCAUCAUAUUUGCAAAUGAUUGUUUUCUGCUUCAUAUUUUACAUCAACUGAUACAUGAUUUUAAUGACAUUUCUAUAUGAAAGAACAAAUUAUGUCUACAAAAAUGAUUUGUAACAUUAUAAAUAUUUUUACUCUCACUUUUGAUAAUUUUUAUGUGUUCUUGAUGAAUAAAAAACAUUUUUAAAAAGCAAAACAUUUGCUAUAAAUUGAAUAGUAAUAUAUAAUGUUCUCACAAAGAUAUUGAAGUGAAAUAUGUAACAGUUGAUAUACAUAAAUCAGAAUUAUGCUAAAUGUAAUCAGUAUAGGCGUGAACUAUUUUAGUUACUGGUAUUCUAAUAAUGAGUGUAAAGAACUAAGAUUAUUUUGCUUUAAUAAUUGUCAAUAUCUCUUCUAGCGUAACAAGUAACUAUUCAUUAGAUUUAGAAUCAUUUAAAUUCCUUAAUAUUACAUUUCUAACUAUUAGCUAUUUUUUAUAUCAGUAUAAUGUUUUGAUAUAUAUAUUUUUCUAAUACCUGUUAAUUUUCCAAAACUCAAUUAUUACCUCAUUCUUUUAUUUUAUUUUCAGCUUUGUCCCUUUAUUACAGUUUUUCCUCAGUGGCUUUGGUGCAUUUCUCACAACACUGUUUACAUUUGCACAACCGGUAAUGCAUUUCUCAAAAAAAUCAGUACAAACUGCAAAACCUAGAUGAUAAUCUGCAAAACCGUGUCACUUGCUCAAAAUUGAUAGCUCAUUCCUCAAAAGAGGUAUUGAUGUAAAUGAAGGUUUCAGUGUCAUCAAGAUGAAAAUUCCUGACACCAUUGUUUAUGAACAAGAUAGUCAAAUGGCUUUGUCAUGUUUUCAUUAUAACAGUUACUCUGUACAUUUAUUAAAAUGCAAAUAAAAAAACAGAUUUUGUUGACGUCCUGAAAAUGCUCAAGACAGCGCUAUAUACUUUUGCACAGCCAUUUGAAAACUACAGUAAAGUUAGACAUCACUGCAUUUAGUGAGGUAUCUGAGUUCAUACACUUAAUAUGUGUUUUUUACAUCCUUACUGCAUUUGCUCUUUGCAGUUGUAAUUUAUUCACAGCAUUGUGCAAAAGAAUAAAUACACCCUCAUUUACAACAAACAUAAACUUUCUUUGGGUAGAGCUGUGCACAACUGUAAACAAUAUUGCUGUACAUAUCAGAACUAAACACACAUGUCUGUAAAUCAUUCAUCAAAUUGUUCAAUUUAGAAGACAUUUUUUGGGAGAAAAAUGAUUGAAAAGAUUUUAUAAAACUUGCUUGACAGAUUUUGACACCUAGUGUAACAUUUUUGUAUGUAAUGACUCAAGUAAUGAAAUGAGGACUCAGUUUAAUAUGGAAUGACUAUUCAGCAUUCACAAAUUUAGUUAAUUUUGACUGACAUGACAUAAGCAAAUGAUAAUGUUAUGGUAACACUUUACAAUAAGGGUGCAUUAGUUAACAUUAGUUAAUGCAUUAGUUAACAUGAACUAACAAUGAAUAACGCAUUUAUUAAGCAUUAACUAACCUUUGUUAAUGUUAACUAAACAUUUAUUUAUGUUAGCUAAUGCAUUAGUAAACAUGAUCUAACAGUAAUUAAGGACUUUGUUCAGCAUUACUUAAUCUUUGUUAAUGUUUAUUUACACAUUAUCUAAUGCAUCUCUUUACAUGAACAGCUUAAUUAGUUCAUGUUUACUCACUCAUACACUAACGCAUUUGUUAAUGGAUUAGAUCACUUGAUCUUAUAAUGAACAACACAUUUAUAAAGCAAUACUAAAUCCUUGUUCAUGAAAACUUACAAUGUUAGUUAACAUGAACAACAUGUUAGCAUAAUUGGUAAAGCUUUUAAUAAGUGCAUAGUUCCUGAUUAAUGUCAGGGACAAAGGAGGACUCUUUUGGAGUGUAUUACAUCAGAACCUCAGCUUUAACUGUUAUUCAUGUUUGCUAAUGCAUUAGCUAACACAUAAAUAAAUGUUUAGUUAACAUUAACAAAGGUUAGGUAAUGCUUAAUAAAUGCGUUAUUCAUUGUUAGUUCAUGUUAACUAAUGCAUUAACUAAUGUUAACUAAUGCACCCUUAUUGUAAAGUGUUAUCAAUGUGAUAAACAGCAGACAGUUGUAUGAAAGCAAUUGAUGCAUGUCCAAAAGCAUUUGCAAUUUGUUGAAAGAAACGAGAAAAUGCUACUAUGAUGUGCACAAAUGACUAAUUGUUUUCAGAAAUCCUUUAACUGUUGUGCAAAUGUAAAUAGUGUUGUGAGAAAUGCAUCAAAGCCACUGAGAAAAACUGUAAUCCGAGGUCCCCAUCACAUACACUACAGACAAUUUAGCUUAGUCAAUUCACCUAUACCGCAUGUCUUUAGACUUGUGGAGCACCCUGAGGAAACCCACGCUAACGUGGGGAGAACAUGCAACUCCAUACAGAAAUGCCAACUGGUAAUAUACCCUGACCCAACUGGCCAGGCUGAGGCUCGAACCAGGGACCUUCUUGCUUUUGGGCGAUCGGGCUACUCAUUGCGCCAUCAUGACACCUCAAUUAUUAUCUUAUUCUUAAUACUGGGGACUGGGGGUUCACCUGGAGGUUGAGGGUUGCACUGGUGUCCCUGCUCAAUAUCUGGAUGCAGCCUUUAUGAUGCAAGCUGAGAUUGCAUCACUCAGCAAUGCAGUGUCAGACACAAUGCACUCAAAUGGAGCGAGUGACGUCACUGUGAUGGCUAGGGUUAGGUGAGCCCAUUAAAAAGCAUUGGAUGCAGGCCAGAUUACACUGCACCUGGUCUGCAUACAGACCCCUCUUUCCCUCCUUGUAACAACAGAAUUAAAUGUCCUUCAAAGUUCAGUCUAUAGAGGGCGCCAGAGCACUAUUUACGUUUGCACAUUAGAAGCCACACAUUACUCAUUAGAACACAAUGUUGUAGACUGUAUGACUUUCUUUAGCAAAACUACAGUUUUGGAACAACAUUAGGUGUGUAAAUUAUUUCAGUCUGUUAUGUUACCUGUUCAGCUAUCACAUAAAACAAUUUUUAAGAUUUCACAUAUAAUAGUUUGUAUGUUCCCCCCGUGUUCGCGUGGCUUUCCUCCGGGUGCUCCGGUUUGCCCCACAGUCCGAAGACAUGCGGUAUAAGUGAACUGAAUAAACUAAAUUGGCCAUAGCCUAUGUGUGUAAAUGAGUGUGGAUGGAUAUUGGAUGGACAGUUCAUUCUGCUGUGGUGACCGCUGAUUAAUAAAGGGACUAAGGCGAAGGAAAAUUAUUCUCAUAAAAUGUCGGUAACAUUUUAUUUUUGUCAAGAAGAAAUAGUUUUGCAAACAUAAUUACAGAUGCGGGAAAAACAGAAUACUACAUUCUUACAGUGUGUGAAAAGACUAAAUUCGACAAACAUGGCAAAUCCUAAAAAAAAGUAACAUUUGUGUAAAUAUUUACAUUUUGUUCAAAUACUGAUUUUGAAUAAUUGUACAUAACCAAUCAUCUACAUACAUUUCUUUGUCUUCUUAUAAUGACCACAAAUCUGUAUACAGUGUCAGGCAAUAUAAAAGUGCAAUUUAUUUGCUUAAGUCGUUUAAAGUCUGAGGUUUGGCCGAGUGAGAACACCACGACAUCAGAUGAACAGAUCAUGUUUAAGACUUGAAAAUAAUAAUUCAGACAUAAAAAAAAGAAGAAAAGCUUCAAAAAGCACCCUCAAAGUUGUCCCCAUGACUCUCUAGCUUUGCAUGAUUAAAGUCAUUAUUCGGUCAGGUUGCAUAUGGAUUGUAGUUGGAGCUUGACACGGCUGUUAAAAUCUGCUGUUGUACUAAAAAAUAAUCACUUUUAGAUAUUUGUUACAUUCCUAACAAAUGGUGAGUUAAUCAAUUUUAUUUUUGGGUGAACCGACCGACAAUUAAGUAUUUACACAGCAACUAGCAUGCAUUAUAGUGUGUUUUGCACAUUCAUACAGCAUAUAUAAUUGUUGCUGUUGUACCAUGUUGUGCAUGUAAACACACUAAAUGUCAUACUAGAUCUCUUGUUCAUUAAAGAGGAUGUUGUAUGUGUUUGAAGAUCUCAUCUGUUUGUGUUAUUUCAACUACUUUUCUGUUUAAUGCAGUCGUGUUUAUUUGUGGAAUUUGUGCAGAAAAACUACAUUACCCAUGAAGCUGUGCUGAAAAAAAUCCUCUAAUCAGAGUCAUAGCAAGCAAAGUGCACAAAAUAAGAUCUUUAGCUUACAACCACUUUCACAAAGCAAUGCAAAUGAUGUACUUCUGUCCUAUAGUUCUCUGUUGUUUUUAGUUUGUUAUACACUACGCUUCAUGGGAUUGUAGUUCUUUUUCUCAAUAAAGCUAUACAGCAACUGUG